RNAcentral lists this ribosomal RNA (253 nucleotides) under uncultured bacterium. RNAcentral describes it as "partial 16S ribosomal RNA". It matches the Rfam family "Bacterial small subunit ribosomal RNA", at positions 524 to 776 of the family's 1533-position model. The record is from RNAcentral.
UACGUAGGGCGCAAGCGUUGUCCGGAAUUAUUGGGCGUAAAGAGCUCGUAGGCGGUUUGUCGCGUCUGCUGUGAAAACCUAAGGCUCAACCUUGGGCUUGCAGUGGGUACGGGCAGACUAGAGUGCGGUAGGGGUGACUGGAAUUCCUGGUGUAGCGGUGAAAUGCGCAGAUAUCAGGAGGAACACCGGUGGCGAAGGCGGGUCUCUGGGCCGCAACUGACGCUGAGGAGCGAAAGCAUGGGGAGCGAACAGG